AUGAUUAGACUACAGUGAAUAAGACUGAAGGAGAAAAUAAAGCAGUGAGACCGUGAGGCGAGAAGGCGUCCCAGCGGAACGAAUCAUGCAAGAGCAGCCGCACUUUUUCCAGCUGACCGUUUGAGUUGAUUUCCACUAUUCCCCUUGAGCAGGUCCCGAGGCAGAAGACGAGGUGGAAGACUGAUUUUUAAAAUGAGAGAAAAAAAAAACUGGUAUUUACAGCACUCGUGUCUGGCGAUCUGAGGAAAUAUAUACAAGGCGGUGUGUGAAAAAAGCUCGGAGGAUCAUCAGAGACUCCAGCCACCCGAGCCAUGGGCUGUUCUCACUGCUACCAUCAGGUAGGCGGUAUCGCAGCAUCAGGACCCGCACCAGCUGACUUCAUGAUAGCUUCUUCCCCCAAGCAAUCAGACUUCUGAACUCUUGAUCUCCCACGAUCAAAUACAUCAGCACUGCACUUUAUUACCCUUACUCUUAUAUCUCACACCGGACUGUCAUAAAUUAUAUUAUUAUUAUAUUAUAUUCUCUCUUAACAACUGACUAUCAACCGACAGCUGAAUGUCAAUACAGUACAAUACUGUACAUUCUAUAUAUACUAUAUAUACUUUUUUAUAUAUUUUUAUUUUUUAUUUUUAUUGAAUAAUGUGUAUCUAUAUAGUGCGUAUUGUAUACUGUACAGUGUAUGUUAUUAUUUGUAUAUUGUUGAGUGUAAUUAUGUGUAUAUCAGAUGUUUAAAUUGUGUUGUGUUAAUUUGAUGUUAUUGUAAAUUGGUACCGUCUCAUCACUGUCACGACUGCUAUGUUGAUCGGAACUGCACCCAAGAAUUUC
Myxocyprinus asiaticus (Chinese sucker) is the source of this 825-nucleotide long non-coding RNA. RefSeq lists it as uncharacterized. The transcript is spliced from 3 exons. The record is from RefSeq and is a predicted model, not a curated record. Lineage: Eukaryota; Metazoa; Chordata; Actinopteri; Cypriniformes; Catostomidae.